GAAAUGCGAUAAGUAAUGUGAAUUGCAGAAUUCAGUGAAUCAUCGAAUCUUUGAACGCACAUUGCGCCCGCUGGAAUUCCAGCGGGCAUGCCUGUUCGAGCGUCAUUUCACCCCUCAAGCCUUGCUUGGUGUUGGAGCACUACCGUUUGUAUAAAGCGGUAGGCUCUGAAAUUCAGUGGCGGGCUCGCUAAGACUCUGAGCGUAGUAGUUUAUCACCUCGCUUUGGAAGGAUUAGCGGUGCUCUUGCCGUAAAACCCCCCAACUUCUGAAUUUUGACCUCGGAUCAGGUAGGAAUACCCGCUGAACUUAA
Molecule: unclassified non-coding RNA, 310 nt
Filed under: uncultured Coniella
Lineage: Eukaryota; Fungi; Ascomycota; Sordariomycetes; Diaporthales; Schizoparmaceae
Also listed under: 1 other name
Description: sequence contains ITS1
Rfam family: 5.8S ribosomal RNA (bases 1-105)
Source: RNAcentral